This 724-nucleotide ribosomal RNA is filed under the name Vibrio sp. KR05-03. Its description in RNAcentral is "bacterial SSU rRNA". It matches the Rfam family "Bacterial small subunit ribosomal RNA", at positions 100 to 820 of the family's 1533-position model. The record is from RNAcentral. Lineage: Bacteria; Pseudomonadati; Pseudomonadota; Gammaproteobacteria; Vibrionales; Vibrionaceae.
GGACGGGUGAGUAAUGCCUGGGAAAUUGCCCUGAUGUGGGGGAUAACCAUUGGAAACGAUGGCUAAUACCGCAUAAUGUCUACGGACCAAAGAGGGGGACCUUCGGGCCUCUCGCUUCAGGAUAUGCCCAGGUGGGAUUAGCUAGUUGGUGAGGUAAUGGCUCACCAAGGCGACGAUCCCUAGCUGGUCUGAGAGGAUGAUCAGCCACACUGGAACUGAGACACGGUCCAGACUCCUACGGGAGGCAGCAGUGGGGAAUAUUGCACAAUGGGCGCAAGCCUGAUGCAGCCAUGCCGCGUGUAUGAAGAAGGCCUUCGGGUUGUAAAGUACUUUCAGUCGUGAGGAAGGCGUUGAAGUUAAUAGCUUCNUCGUUUGACGUUAGCGACAGAAGAAGCACCGGCUAACUCCGUGCCAGCAGCCGCGGUAAUACGGAGGGUGCGAGCGUUAAUCGGAAUUACUGGGCGUAAAGCGCAUGCAGGUGGUUUGUUAAGUCAGAUGUGAAAGCCCGGGGCUCAACCUCGGAACCGCAUUUGAAACUGGCAGGCUAGAGUACUGUAGAGGGGGGUAGAAUUUCAGGUGUAGCGGUGAAAUGCGUAGAGAUCUGAAGGANUACCAGUGGCGAAGGCGGCCCCCUGGACAGAUACUGACACUCAGAUGCGAAAGCGUGGGGAGCAAACAGGANUANAUACCCUGGNAGUCCACGCCGUAAACGAUGUCUACUUGG